Molecule: long non-coding RNA, 1269 nt
Filed under: Monodelphis domestica (gray short-tailed opossum)
Lineage: Eukaryota; Metazoa; Chordata; Mammalia; Didelphimorphia; Didelphidae
Description: lncRNA (ENSMODG00000030915.2)
Source: RNAcentral
UUCUAUCCUUGAGUAUUGCCUCCUUGGCAAUCCUGUCUGUAUGAAAACAUUCUCUUGGGAGUCCUAUGUUCAAAAACCGGACACCAACCACUCAUAUAAAGCAGAUUUCCUUAAGAGCAUGCUCCUCUGAAUAAAAGAGGAUCAAUAAUAGAAGAUCCUGAAGCAGAAGGACAGAAUCCUUGUCUUGACUGGGCAGGAGAGAAGAAAUUUGCCAACAUUUAAUGAUAAUUGUUAAGUUAGGUGGCACCACAGUGCAUAGAGCAUCAGGACAGGAGUUGGGAAGAGAGAGAAAUGAGCCAUGAUGUGAUUAUACAAUUAUUUCUUUGUGUCUUGCUUGUUUGCCAUCACACAUUUCUGGAUUUCAAGACAACUUUUGUAUUGAAAUGAGUUACCAGAUCAAGAAGAAAAAUGUAGGUUUGUUGGAAGAUCUUUAACUUUAUAGGCAAGGCUUUAUUUCUUCAUUUUUGUAUUUCUUUCUUUUAAAAUAUAUAUUACAUAUAUAUGGUAGAUGUAACUAAAACAUAUAAAUGUUGAAUUUUGUAUGAAAGGGUUUGAACUAGACAGGAUUUCAUCACUCGGUGGAUCCUAGAAUGGAAUGUGCUUCCAUAUAGAUUAUUAAUUUUUCCAUAACUUAUAGAGUUAGGAAGCUUCAAAGAUCUCCUGGGGACACCAAGAGUUAAGUGACUUUCCUAGGGUCACAGCCAUUGUAUAUCAAAGAAAAUACUUGAAUCUAGUCUUUGUGAUACUAAGGUUAACCCAUUAUACAACUCUCAUAGUUAUAUCUAUAAUCUAAAUCAUAUUUGUAUUUGUGUGGGGAAGGGAAAGAUCUAGGAUCUUCACUGUCUCUAAUCCCCAAUAUCCAGAUGUUAAGUCUCUAGGACAUCCUUCAGAUACAUACCCUUCUGUCAUCUGACACCACCUCUGAAGAGUUCAGUCUGCACUCCUGCAACAGCUGGCCAAUGGAUCUUCCUGCCUCAAGUUUCUCCACACUCCAAUCCAUCCUCCUUUCAACCACUAAGGCCUAGAGCUGAUGACUCCAUACCUGUGAGUAUCAGCCUUACAGGACUUCAAAUCAGACUGCUCUGCAUUUUGAGACUCAAAAAGAAGGUGAAAUGAGGACUUAUCUACUGGCUGAAAUUUAAAUUUUCCAGGUGGCAGAAGUCCUGGAGAGUUGGAAUCAAAAAAUGGAAAUUUACACUUAAAGAAUCCAGUCUGUGUUUUAUGGAUAUACAUGUGUUCUCUUUGAAAACUGCUCUCUGAAACACCGAG